This 465-nucleotide ribosomal RNA is filed under the name uncultured Klebsiella sp. RNAcentral's name for it is "bacterial SSU rRNA". It matches the Rfam family "Bacterial small subunit ribosomal RNA", at positions 338 to 795 of the family's 1533-position model. The record is from RNAcentral. Lineage: Bacteria; Pseudomonadati; Pseudomonadota; Gammaproteobacteria; Enterobacterales; Enterobacteriaceae.
CCUACGGGAGGCAGCAGUGGGGAAUAUUGCACAAUGGGCGCAAGCCUGAUGCAGCCAUGCCGCGUGUGUGAAGAAGGCCUUCGGGUUGUAAAGCACUUUCAGCGGGGAGGAAGGCGUUAAGGUUAAUAACCUUGGCGAUUGACGUUACCCGCAGAAGAAGCACCGGCUAACUCCGUGCCAGCAGCCGCGGUAAUACGGAGGGUGCAAGCGUUAAUCGGAAUUACUGGGCGUAAAGCGCACGCAGGCGGUCUGUCAAGUCGGAUGUGAAAUCCCCGGGCUCAACCUGGGAACUGCAUUCGAAACUGGCAGGCUAGAGUCUUGUAGAGGGGGGUAGAAUUCCAGGUGUAGCGGUGAAAUGCGUAGAGAUCUGGAGGAAUACCGGUGGCGAAGGCGGCCCCCUGGACAAAGACUGACGCUGAGGCGCGAAAGCGUGGGGAGCGAACAGGAUUAGAUACCCGAGUAGUC